This 253-nucleotide ribosomal RNA is filed under the name uncultured bacterium. Its description in RNAcentral is "partial 16S ribosomal RNA". It matches the Rfam family "Bacterial small subunit ribosomal RNA", at positions 524 to 776 of the family's 1533-position model. The record is from RNAcentral.
UACGUAGGUGGCAAGCGUUGUCCGGAAUUAUUGGGCGUAAAGAGCUUGUAGGCGGUCUGUCGCGUCUGCUGUGAAAAUCCGGGGCUCAACCCCGGACUUGCAGUGGGUACGGGCAGACUAGAGUGUGGUAGGGGAGACUGGAAUUCCUGGUGUAGCGGUGAAAUGCGCAGAUAUCAGGAGGAACACCGAUGGCGAAGGCAGGCCUCUGGGCCACUACUGACGCUGAGAAGCGAAAGCAUGGGGAGCGAACAGG